This 573-nucleotide ribosomal RNA is filed under the name Peptostreptococcaceae bacterium oral taxon D17. Its description in RNAcentral is "bacterial SSU rRNA". It matches the Rfam family "Bacterial small subunit ribosomal RNA", at positions 379 to 971 of the family's 1533-position model. The record is from RNAcentral. Lineage: Bacteria; Bacillati; Bacillota; Clostridia; Peptostreptococcales; Peptostreptococcaceae.
AAGCCUGAUGCAGCAACGCCGCGUGAACGAUGAAGGUCUUCGGAUCGUAAAGUUCUGUUGCAGGGGAAGAUAAUGACGGUACCCUGUGAGGAAGCCCCGGCUAACUACGUGCCAGCAGCCGCGGUAAUACGUAGGGGGCUAGCGUUAUCCGGAUUUACUGGGCGUAAAGGGUGCGUAGGUGGUCCUUCAAGUCGGUGGUUAAAGGCUACGGCUCAACCGUAGUAAGCCGCCGAAACUGGAGGACUUGAGUGCAGGAGAGGAAAGUGGAAUUCCAGUGUAGCGGUGAAAUGCGUAGAUAUUGGGAGGAACACCAGUAGCGAAGGCGGCUUUCUGGACUGCAACUGACACUGAGGCACGAAAGCGUGGGUAGCAAACAGGAUUAGAUACCCUGGUAGUCCACGCUGUAAACGAUGAGUACUAGGUGUCGGGGGUUACCCCCCUCGGUGCCGCAGCUAACGCAUUAAGUACUCCGCCUGGGGAGUACGCACGCAAGUGUGAAACUCAAAGGAAUUGACGGGGAACCCGCACAAGUAGCGGAGCAUGUGGUUUAAUUCGAAACAACGCGAAGAACCU